AUUGAACGCUGGCGGCAUGCUUUACACACGCAAGUCGAACGGUAACAGGUUAAGCUGACGAGUGGCGAACGGGUGAGUAAUGCAUCGGAACGUGCCCGGUCGUGGGGGAUAACACUUCGAAAGAAGUGCUAAUACCGCAUACGAUCUAAGGAUGAAAGCGGGGGACCGUAAGGCCUCGCGCGAUCGGAGCGGCCGAUGUCAGAUUAGGUAGUUGGUGGGGUAAAGGCCUACCAAGCCGACGAUCUGUAGCUGGUCUGAGAGGACGACCAGCCACACUGGGACUGAGACACGGCCCAGACUCCUACGGGAGGCAGCAGUGGGGAAUUUUGGACAAUGGGCGCAAGCCUGAUCCAGCAAUGCCGCGUGCAGGAAGAAGGCCUUCGGGUUGUAAACUGCUUUUGUACGGAGCGAAAAGGCUCUCUCUAAUACAGGGGGCUGAUGACGGUACCGUAAGAAUAAGCACCGGCUAACUACGUGCCAGCAGCCGCGGUAA
RNAcentral lists this ribosomal RNA (493 nucleotides) under uncultured bacterium. Its description in RNAcentral is "partial 16S ribosomal RNA". It matches the Rfam family "Bacterial small subunit ribosomal RNA", at positions 30 to 523 of the family's 1533-position model. The record is from RNAcentral.